This 68-nucleotide transfer RNA is filed under the name Marmota monax (woodchuck). RNAcentral describes it as "tRNA.Ala". The record is from RNAcentral. Lineage: Eukaryota; Metazoa; Chordata; Mammalia; Rodentia; Sciuridae.
GGAUUGUGGCUCAGUGGUAAAGCGCUUGCCUAGCAUGCGUGAGGGACUGGGUUAGAUCCCCCGCACCA